RNAcentral lists this ribosomal RNA (509 nucleotides) under uncultured bacterium. Its description in RNAcentral is "bacterial SSU rRNA". It matches the Rfam family "Bacterial small subunit ribosomal RNA", at positions 338 to 859 of the family's 1533-position model. The record is from RNAcentral.
CCUACGGGAGGCAGCAGUGGGGAAUAUUGCACAAUGGGCGCAAGCCUGAUGCAGCAACGCCGCGUGAGGGACGACGGCCUUCGGGUUGUAAACCUCUUUUAGUAGGGAAGAAGCGAAAGUGACGGUACCUGCAGAAAAAGCACCGGCUAACUACGUGCCAGCAGCCGCGGUAAUACGUAGGGUGCAAGCGUUGUCCGGAAUUAUUGGGCGUAAAGAGCUCGUAGGCGGUUUGUCGCGUCUGCUGUGAAAACCUGAGGCUCAACCUCAGACCUGCAGUGGGUACGGGCAGACUAGAGUGCGGUAGGGGAGAUUGGAAUUCCUGGUGUAGCGGUGGAAUGCGCAGAUAUCAGGAGGAACACCGAUGGCGAAGGCAGAUCUCUGGGCCGUAACUGACGCUGAGGAGCGAAAGCAUGGGGAGCGAACAGGAUUAGAUACCCUGGUAGUCCAUGCGUAACGUAGGUACGUAGAUAGUAGGACGACUCUACGUUCGUUGUGUCGUCAGCUACGCG